AUUAAACGCUGGCGGCGUGCCUAAUACGUGCAAGUCGAACGAGGUGCCUUUGUAGCAAUACGAAGGUAUCCUAGUGGCGAACGGGUGAGUAACGCGUUGGUGACCUACCCCAAAGUGUGGGAUAACAGAUCGAAAGAUCUGCUAAUACCGCAUGUGGUCUUCGGAUUUAGAAACUGAUGACUAAAGGAGCAAUUCGCUUUGGGAGGGACCUGCGUCCCAUCAGCUAGUUGGUGAGGUAAUGGCUCACCAAGGCUACGACGGGUAGGGGACUUGAGAGGGUGGCCCCCCACAAUGGAACUGAAACACGGUCCAUACACCUACGGGUGGCAGCAGUAGGGAAUAUUGCACAAUGGGCGAAAGCCUGAUGCAGCAACGCCGCGUGUGCGAUGAAGGCC
This 395-nucleotide ribosomal RNA is filed under the name uncultured bacterium. RNAcentral's name for it is "bacterial SSU rRNA". It matches the Rfam family "Bacterial small subunit ribosomal RNA", at positions 30 to 416 of the family's 1533-position model. The record is from RNAcentral.